This 1024-nucleotide ribosomal RNA is filed under the name uncultured bacterium. RNAcentral describes it as "bacterial SSU rRNA". It matches the Rfam family "Bacterial small subunit ribosomal RNA", at positions 8 to 1032 of the family's 1533-position model. The record is from RNAcentral.
AGAGUUUGAUCCUGGCUCAGGACGAACGCUGGCGGCGUGCUUAACACAUGCAAGUCGAACGGAAGUUACGAGGAAGCUUGCGAAUUGUAACUUUAGUGGCGGACGGGUGAGUAACGCGUGGAUAACCUACCUUAAGGACUGGGAUAACACCGGGAAACUGGUGCUAAUACCGGAUAAGCUCAUCGGAGCACAUGCUUUGAUGAGGAAAGGAGCAAUCCGCUUUAAGAUGGGUCCGCGUCCCAUUAGCUAGUUGGGGGUGUAAGAGACCACCAAGGCAACGAUGGGUAGCCGGCCUGAGAGGGUGGACGGCCACACUGGAACUGAGACACGGUCCAGACUCCUACGGGAGGCAGCAGUGGGGAAUCUUCCGCAAUGGGCGAAAGCCUGACGGAGCAACGCCGCGUGAAUGAUGAAGGCCUUCGGGUUGUAAAAUUCUGUCUUCAGGGAAGAAAAAAAUGACGGUACCUGAGGAGGAAGCCCCGGCUAACUACGUGCCAGCAGCCGCGGUAAUACGUAGGGGGCAAGCGUUGUCCGGAAUUACUGGGCGUAAAGGGCGCGUAGGCGGUUUCUUAAGUCAAGUGGUGAAAACUAUGGGCUCAACCCAUAGCCUGCCUUUGAAACUGGGAGACUUGAGGACAGGAGAGGGGAGUGGAAUUCCCAGUGUAGCGGUGAAAUGCGUAGAUAUUGGGAGGAACACCAGUGGCGAAGGCGGCUCUCUGGCCUGUAACUGACGCUGAGGCGCGAAAGCGUGGGGAGCGAACGGGAUUAGAUACCCCGGUAGUCCACGCCGUAAACGAUGGGUGCUAGGUGUAGGAGGUAUCGACCCCUUCUGUGCCGUAGUUAACACAAUAAGCACCCCGCCUGGGGAGUACGGCCGCAAGGUUGAAACUCAAAGGAAUUGACGGGGGCCCGCACAAGCGGUGGAGCAUGUGGUUUAAUUCGACGCAACGCGAGAACCUUACCAGGGUUUGACAUCCCCUGACAGCCGAGGAAACUUGGUUUUCUGCCUUCGGGCAGACAGGGU